Lucilia sericata (common green bottle fly) is the source of this 896-nucleotide long non-coding RNA. RefSeq lists it as uncharacterized. The record is from RefSeq and is a predicted model, not a curated record. Lineage: Eukaryota; Metazoa; Arthropoda; Insecta; Diptera; Calliphoridae. The transcript has 3 exons.
UUACAGUUGGAAAAUUUGAUUGUAAGUGUUAAGAAACUAAAAAUAAAAAUUUAGUUGAGCGGAGCUCUACAGAAUUCCAGUAUAUGUAUAAAACUUUUACGGCGAGUAUAAUAUAGAAAAAUAAAAGUACGAAAGCUUUUUGCUUCUCUACUGUUUAAAGGACUCUCUCGCCUGUGUGUGCGCUUUGGGUCUUUAGAUAACACAAAAAACCACUAGAAAACAACAGCAACAACAACAACAAUUCAAAAUUGACUUCAUUGAAUGAAAAUAUUACAACAAAGACACAAAAAAAAAAAGAGCAACGUCAACAAAACCUUUAAUAGAGAACAAUAUUUAACAACGAAGUGUAUAAUAUACUCUGUCUCUCUUUCUCAAUCUAUAUAUUUACCGUUAUAUUGACUACCACCACCCUACACUACUCAAAUACAAACUCUAAACAAUUAUCAGUCACUCAGUCAGCGAACAACUAGCGAGAGCAGCAAGCAGCAUAUUUUAUCUUUAGCAACGUUUAUACGUAUUUGUCAUUGUCAUCGUCGUCAUAGUUGUUUCAACGAAGAACAACAACUACAACAACAACAAAAAGUUAAAAGAAAAAUUGGCCAACUUUAGCUAGUAUCGGAAUAUAGUAUCAGCAGGAUAAAGUAUCCCCCAAAAAAAAUCCUUUCAUUUGAGGAAUAACAGCAGUUUUUCAAAUACCUCCCCAAUCUAUCCUUCACACACAAACACACACAUUCAAUCUCAUUCUCUCGUUUUAAGUCAACUCUAAAGAAUAAAAAACAACAAAAAUUAACAUAACUAUUUAUAAAUAAAACAUAAUUUAUUUAACUCUUAAAAAUUCAAAACUAAAAAAUGGGCAAAAAAAGAUAAAAAGAAGGAAGAGUAAGUUGAUUUUUCAG